RNAcentral lists this transfer RNA (70 nucleotides) under Microlunatus sp. Gsoil 973. RNAcentral describes it as "tRNA-OTHER". The record is from RNAcentral. Lineage: Bacteria; Bacillati; Actinomycetota; Actinomycetes; Propionibacteriales; Propionibacteriaceae.
ACCGGGGUAGCUCACAUGGAGAGCGCCACUCAACGAAGCGGAGACGAUGGUUCGCACCCAUCCCCCGGUA